Molecule: ribosomal RNA, 301 nt
Filed under: uncultured bacterium
Lineage: Bacteria
Description: partial 16S ribosomal RNA
Rfam family: Bacterial small subunit ribosomal RNA
Source: RNAcentral
CAGCCGCCGCGGGAAUACAGAGGGUGCAAGCGUUAAUCGGAAUUACUGGGCGUAAAGCGCGCGUAGGUGGUUUGUUAAGUUGGAUGUGAAAUCCCCGGGCUCAACCUGGGAACUGCAUCCAGAACUGGCAAGCUAGAGUAUGGUAGAGGGUGGUGGAAUUUCCUGUGUAGCGGUGAAAUGCGUAGAUAUAGGAAGGAACACCAGUGGCGAAGGCGACCACCUGGACUGAUACUGACACUGAGGUGCGAAAGCGUGGGGAGCAAACAGGAUUAGAUACCCCGGUAGUCCCUGUCUCUUAUAC